UACGUAGGGUGCAAGCGUUAAUCGGAAUUACUGGGCGUAAAGCGUGCGCAGGCGGUUCGCUAAGACAGAUGUGAAAUCCCCGGGCUUAACCUGGGAACUGCAUUUGUGACUGUAGAGCUGGAGUGCGGCAGAGGGGGAUGGAAUUCCGCGUGUAGCAGUGAAAUGCGUAGAUAUGCGGAGGAACACCGAUGGCGAAGGCAAUCCCCUGGGCCUGCACUGACGCUCAUGCACGAAAGCGUGGGGAGCAAACAGG
RNAcentral lists this ribosomal RNA (253 nucleotides) under uncultured bacterium. Its description in RNAcentral is "partial 16S ribosomal RNA". It matches the Rfam family "Bacterial small subunit ribosomal RNA", at positions 524 to 776 of the family's 1533-position model. The record is from RNAcentral.